CUCCAAGCCCGAAAGACGAUUUCAUUUUCUACUUGUCUAGUGUCCCUUGCUCUUCUAGCCUCAACUACACUCUCUCUCUCUUUCUCUCGAGAGAUAGGGGCACACUGGUCCUUGCAUCAAAUCUCUAAAACCCUAAACUAUCAUUAAACCUCUAUUCAACACUGACAUAAAAUCAUACACAAGCUCACAAUUUGUAUAUGCACGGAUCUGCAAAUUUCUUCAAAGAGAUUUUUAGGGUUUUCAGUUAGAUCCUGAGCUGAUCACCAUGUGGAACAAUAAUGGAGAGGCGCAUAUCGCCCCACCAGGGACGAGCGUUCCAUCGAUACCUCCACCGCCUGUUCCAGCACAGCCCUCUUAUACUGUGCUGGCCCCGCAAACACCUCCGACUCCGGCUGAGGCGGAGGCUAAGCUCGAAGAGAAGGCCCGUAAAUGGCAGCAACUUAAUACGAAGAGGUAUAGCGAUAAGAGGAAGUUUGGAUUCGUAGAGACGCAGAAAGAGGACAUGCCCCCAGAGCAUGUCAGAAAAAUUAUCAGAGACCAUGGGGACAUGUCCUCCAAGAAAUAUCGUCAUGAUAAACGUGUGUAUCUUGGAGCCCUUAAAUUCAUUCCACAUGCAGUUUACAAGCUUCUUGAGAAUAUGCCGAUGCCCUGGGAGCAGGUUCGUGAUGUGAAGGUUCUAUACCAUAUCACCGGGGCUAUCACUUUUGUGAAUGAAAUUCCAUGGGUUGUUGAACCUAUUUAUUUGGCUCAGUGGGGUACAAUGUGGAUCAUGAUGCGAAGAGAGAAGAGGGAUCGGAGGCAUUUUAAGAGAAUGAGGUUUCCACCAUUUGAUGAUGAGGAACCUCCAUUGGACUAUGCUGAUAAUUUGUUAGAUGUUGAUCCUCUAGAGCCUAUUCAGUUGGAGUUGGAUGAAGAAGAAGAUUCUGCAGUAUGCACUUGGUUUUAUGACCAUAAGCCCCUUGUCAAAACGAAACUUAUCAAUGGUCCAAGUUAUAGGAAGUGGCAUCUCUCCCUUCCCAUAAUGGCAACUCUUCACCGGUUGGCAGGACAACUUCUAUCUGAUCUAAUUGAUCGCAAUUAUUUUUACUUGUUUGACAUGGAGUCCUUCUUUACGGCUAAAGCAUUAAACAUGUGCAUACCUGGUGGUCCUAAAUUUGAACCUUUGUAUCGUGACAUGGAGAAAGGGGAUGAAGAUUGGAAUGAGUUCAAUGAUAUAAACAAACUCAUUAUUCGGUCACCUCUCAGGACAGAGUACAGAAUUGCAUUCCCUCAUCUUUAUAACAAUAGGCCCAGGAAAGUAAAGCUUGGUGUGUAUCACACUCCCAUGAUCAUGUUCAUUAAAGCCGAGGAUCCUGAUUUACCUGCUUUUUAUUACGAUCCAUUAAUUCACCCUAUAACCUCUACUAACAAGGAACGUCGAGAAAAGAAGGCUCAUGAUGAUGAUGAGGAUGAUGAUUUCCUUUUACCAGAAGGAGUGGAACCUUUGCUGCAAGACACUCAGCUUUAUACAGACACCACAGCUGCUGGUAUUUCCCUGUUAUUUGCACCACGGCCGUUUAACAUGAGAUCCGGCCGUAUGCGACGAGCAGAAGAUAUACCCCUUGUGUCUGAGUGGUAUAAGGAGCACUGUCCUCCAUCAUAUCCAGUGAAAGUUAGGGUUAGCUACCAGAAAUUGUUGAAAUGUUUUGUUUUGAAUGAGCUGCAUCAUAGACCACCCAAAGCACAGAAGAAGAAGCACCUGUUUCGGUCUCUAGCUGCAACCAAGUUCUUCCAAACAACAGAACUUGAUUGGGCUGAAGCAGGCUUACAAGUUUGUAAGCAGGGGUAUAAUAUGCUGAACCUGUUGAUACACAGGAAAAAUUUAAAUUACCUCCAUCUUGAUUAUAAUUUUAACUUGAAGCCUGUGAAAACCCUUACUACAAAGGAACGCAAGAAAUCCCGGUUUGGCAAUGCUUUUCAUCUCUGCCGUGAGAUCCUGCGUUUGACAAAGCUUGUGGUUGAUGCCAAUAUCCAGUUCCGUCUGGGUAAUGUUGAUGCAUUCCAACUAGCUGAUGGUCUACAAUAUACAUUUUCCCAUGUUGGCCAGUUGACUGGCAUGUAUCGAUACAAGUACAGGCUGAUGCGACAGAUUCGAAUGUGCAAAGACUUGAAGCAUUUGAUAUAUUACCGCUUCAAUACGGGUCCAGUGGGGAAAGGACCUGGCUGUGGAUUCUGGGCACCAAUGUGGAGAGUUUGGUUGUUUUUCCUUCGUGGCAUUGUGCCUCUUCUAGAACGGUGGUUAGGGAAUCUCCUUGCACGACAGUUUGAAGGCCGCCAUUCAAAAGGAACGGCUAAGACUGUUACAAAGCAACGUGUUGAGAGUCACUUUGAUUUGGAGCUUCGUGCUGCUGUCAUGCAUGAUGUUCUUGAUGCCAUGCCAGAGGGUAUUAAGCAAAAUAAAGCUAGAACAAUAUUGCAGCACCUAAGUGAGGCCUGGCGUUGUUGGAAAGCCAACAUUCCCUGGAAGGUUCCUGGCUUGCCAGUGCCCAUUGAAAAUAUGAUUCUUCGUUACGUUAAGUCAAAAGCAGACUGGUGGACAAAUGUUGCUCACUAUAAUCGUGAACGUAUAAGAAGAGGUGCAACUGUUGAUAAGACAGUUUGCCGAAAAAAUCUUGGAAGGUUGACUCGCCUUUGGCUAAAGGCAGAACAGGAACGGCAACACAAUUAUUUGAAAGAUGGUCCAUAUGUCACACCAGAAGAAGCAGUUGCCAUUUAUACAACAACCGUGCAUUGGCUGGAGUCCAGAAAGUUUUCUCCCAUUCCAUUCCCUCCACUGUCAUACAAGCAUGACACCAAGCUACUUAUUCUUGCUUUGGAAAGGUUGAAAGAGUCAUAUAGUGUGGCUGUCAGAUUAAACCAACUGCAGAGGGAGGAACUGGGUCUUAUUGAACAGGCUUAUGAUAAUCCACAUGAGGCUUUGUCACGGAUUAAACGUCACCUACUUACUCAGCGUGCCUUCAAAGAAGUUGGCAUAGAGUUCAUGGAUUUAUAUAGUGCUUUGAUUCCAGUUUAUGAAAUUGAACCUCUUGAAAAAAUAACAGAUGCAUAUCUUGACCAAUAUCUGUGGUAUGAAGGUGACAAGCGCCAUCUCUUUCCAAACUGGAUUAAGCCUGCAGAUUCUGAGCCACCACCACUGCUUGUUUAUAAAUGGUGUCAGGGUAUAAACAAUUUGCAGGGUAUCUGGGAUACAAGUGAGGGGCAGUGUGUAGUGAUGCUACAAACGAAGUUUGAGAAGUUCUUUGAAAAGAUUGACUUGACAAUGUUAAAUAGGCUUCUUCGUUUGGUGCUUGACCACAACAUUGCUGAUUAUGUUACUGCAAAGAACAAUGUUGUGUUGUCGUACAAAGAUAUGAGCCACACAAAUUCUUAUGGUUUGAUACGUGGGUUGCAGUUUGCUUCUUUUGUUGUACAAUAUUAUGGACUUGUGCUAGAUCUCUUAGUUCUUGGAUUGACUCGAGCCAGUGAGAUUGCGGGUCCCCCACAAAUGCCAAAUGAAUUCAUCACUUAUUGGGAUACAAAAGUUGAGACAAGGCACCCAAUUCGGUUAUAUUCUAGGUAUAUAGACAGGGUGCAUAUAUUGUUCCGCUUCACUCAUGAAGAGGCUCGAGAUCUCAUCCAGCGCUAUCUUACUGAGCAUCCUGAUCCCAACAAUGAAAACAUGGUUGGGUACCAAAACAAGAAAUGCUGGCCUAGAGAUGCAAGAAUGAGGCUCAUGAAACAUGAUGUUAAUCUCGGGAGAAGCGUAUUUUGGGAUAUGAAGAACCGUCUCCCUCGAAGCAUCACAACUUUGGAGUGGGAGAACAGCUUUGUUUCUGUUUACAGCAAGGACAAUCCAAACUUGCUUUUCAGCAUGUGUGGGUUUGAAGUUCGAAUACUUCCUAAACUAAGGAUGACUCAGGAAGCAUUCAGCAAUACCAGAGAUGGUGUUUGGAAUUUGCAGAAUGAGCAGACUAAAGAGCGAACGGCUGUUGCUUUCCUACGGGUUGAUGAUGAGCACAUGAAGGUGUUUGAGAAUCGUGUGAGGCAGAUUCUUAUGUCUUCAGGGUCAACUACUUUCACAAAAAUCGUCAACAAAUGGAAUACAGCUCUGAUAGGUUUGAUGACUUAUUUCCGUGAAGCAACUGUGCAUACUCAAGAAUUGUUAGAUUUACUGGUUAAAUGUGAAAAUAAAAUCCAAACUCGUAUCAAAAUUGGGUUGAACUCAAAGAUGCCAAGCCGAUUUCCUCCCGUCAUCUUCUAUACGCCAAAAGAAAUCGGAGGACUUGGCAUGCUAUCAAUGGGUCACAUAUUGAUCCCACAAAGUGACCUGCGAUAUAGCCAGCAGACAGAUGUUGGUGUAACCCACUUCCGGAGUGGAAUGAGUCAUGAAGAAGACCAGCUGAUUCCAAAUCUUUAUCGCUACAUUCAGCCAUGGGAGAGCGAGUUCAUAGAUUCACAGCGUGUAUGGGCAGAGUAUGCCCUUAAGAGGCAGGAAGCACAAGCACAAAAUAGGCGUUUAACCCUAGAAGAUUUGGAAGAUUCUUGGGACAGGGGAAUUCCACGUAUUAAUACUUUAUUUCAGAAGGACCGUCAUACUCUUGCAUAUGACAAAGGAUGGAGAGUACGCACUGAUUUCAAGCAAUACCAAGUUCUAAAGCAAAAUCCUUUCUGGUGGACUCACCAGAGGCAUGAUGGGAAACUGUGGAACUUGAACAAUUACCGAACUGAUGUUAUCCAAGCUCUUGGUGGUGUUGAGGGAAUUCUUGAGCAUACCUUGUUCAAAGGAACUUAUUUCCCAACUUGGGAAGGUCUCUUUUGGGAGAAGGCAUCUGGGUUUGAAGAGUCAAUGAAGUACAAGAAGCUUACCAAUGCACAGAGAUCCGGUCUCAAUCAAAUUCCCAAUCGUAGAUUUACACUUUGGUGGUCACCCACGAUAAAUAGGGCCAAUGUCUAUGUGGGUUUCCAAGUGCAAUUAGAUCUAACUGGCAUCUUUAUGCAUGGAAAGAUCCCAACCUUGAAGAUUUCAUUGAUUCAGAUAUUCCGAGCUCAUCUGUGGCAAAAGAUUCAUGAGAGUGUUGUCAUGGAUCUGUGCCAAGUCUUGGAUCAGGAGCUGGAUGCUCUGGAAAUUGAAACUGUGCAGAAGGAAACAAUUCAUCCAAGGAAGAGUUACAAGAUGAACAGCUCCUGUGCAGACAUUCUCCUCUUUGCUGCUCACAGGUGGCCUAUGUCAAAGCCUAGUCUUGUGGCUGAAUCAAAAGACGUGUUUGACCAGAAAGCCAGUAAUAAAUACUGGAUAGAUGUGCAGCUCAGAUGGGGUGACUAUGACUCCCAUGAAGAUGAGAGACAUCGUUACCGAUGUUACCACCCGAAACCGACCCGCUGUCGGAACACCCAAUGUGGAGGAAAGACGCUGUCGGAACACCCAAUGCGAUGAGAAGCCGAAUGAACUCAGUUGAGCGACUCGAGAUCGGUACAACCAAAGUCCGCAAUACAGAUCGGUCAAAUCCAGUCCUCUCACCAUCAUCAGUAAAGGUCAUUCGAUCACCGGGAUCGUAAAUUUUCAGUCGGUGGGUAAAGAAGUCCAUCGGAAAAGGAUCAAAAGCCACAGUCGUAGCCAGAAUUACUGCCGGAACAGUUAAAACAAGAAAGAAAAAGCAAGAAAGGAAAAUCGAAUGAAGGGGGUUCCUUCUGUCAGGAGUAUAUAUAGGGGAAAAUCGGGCAUUUAUUGCUAAGCAGAAAACGAAGUGGACGCUUUGGGAAUCGAGAGGAAUUAAUGCUUCGACCGGACCAGGGCCGAUUAAGGGAUCUGAAUAAAAGAGAUCGGAAGAUGGGAGAUCAUCAUGAGAGAUCGGAAUAA
This 5875-nucleotide unclassified non-coding RNA is filed under the name Hevea brasiliensis (rubber tree). The record is from RNAcentral. Lineage: Eukaryota; Viridiplantae; Streptophyta; Magnoliopsida; Malpighiales; Euphorbiaceae.